Molecule: transfer RNA, 69 nt
Filed under: Nicotiana sylvestris (wood tobacco)
Lineage: Eukaryota; Viridiplantae; Streptophyta; Magnoliopsida; Solanales; Solanaceae
Also listed under: 1 other name
Rfam family: tRNA
About the family: Transfer RNA (tRNA) molecules are approximately 80 nucleotides in length.
Source: Rfam by way of RNAcentral
GCUUAGCUCAGUUGGUUAGAGUGAUCGCUUAAUUAGCGGAUAUCUUGAGUUCGACUCUCAACAAGAGCA